AGUGUGUAUAGGGGGUAAUAAUGUCCGUCUCAUUCUUCAUGUUAAACUGGUACCUCGUCACGGUGCACAGCAGCCCUAUGUGUUCAGGCAUCUGUCCUUCCCAUCCCCACCGCCCCAUCCCUCCCUUCAUUCCCCUCUGCACAAUCCAGAUUUCCUUCGCUCUUCCCUACCUGAAUGUGCUUAUCAGAGAAAACAUUUGGCAUUUGGUUUGGGGGAUUGGCUUAUUUCACUAGCACGAUAUUCUCCAGCUCCAUCCAUUUGCUGGCAAAUGCCACCCCAUUCAUGAUAGCCACAAACAGACAAACAACAACAACAACAAACCCUUGGGAAUCAACCUAACCAAAGAGGUGAAAGACCUCUACAAUGAAAACUACAGGACACUAAAGAAUGAAACUAAAGAAGACCUCAGAAGAUGGAAAGAUCUCCCAUGCUCCUGGAUAGGCAGAAUCAAUAUUGCCAAAAUGGCCACUCUACCCAAAGCAUUACACGGAUUCAAUGCACUUCCUAUUAAAAUCCAGUGACGACCUUCAAAGAACUAGAGAACGCACUCAUGAAAUUCAUUUGGAAAAAUAAGAGACCCAGAAUAGCCAAAGCCAUCCUUAGCAAGAAGAGUGAAGCAGGAGGCCCCACAAUUCCAGACCUUCAACUAUACUACAGAGCAACCGUAACGAAACAGCAUGGCAUGGGCACCAAAAGCCAUCUCUUCACGUUAAACUGGCCAUUCACCACAGUGGCACAGCAACCCUACGUGUUCAGGCACCUGUCCAAGAGCUUCAAGGCUCCUGCAGCGAGCACUGCCAGAACUACCAGGGGGCUGGUCCAGUGCCACGGCUUGAGACGGCGGCAUUGCUGCCCCAGGAACCAGCCGCGCAAGCAGACAGUGGUGCCCUGAGGUACAUGGGAGACCUGAGCAGGGCAGACGGCCACUGGACCCAGAGGACACUCAGAGAGCAUUCUCCCCACCGUGAUGCGAUGGCUGUUCAAAUGUACGUGGAAUGCUGCUGAAGUGGACUAUGUUCUGGGCCAUAUUUAAAGUUAGAAAAUGCAUUUAAAAAGAUUCAAGUCAUAUAACAUUUUCUGACUAAAGUGGAACUAAAUUAUAAAUCAAUGAAAUAAUGGCAUCUGGAAAAUCUCCAAAUAUUUGAAAAUUAAAUGGCACACUUCUGAACAACACUUAGGUCAAGGGAAAAU
Molecule: long non-coding RNA, 1191 nt
Filed under: Marmota monax (woodchuck)
Lineage: Eukaryota; Metazoa; Chordata; Mammalia; Rodentia; Sciuridae
Source: RNAcentral